AUACGUAGGGUGCAAGCGUUAAUCGGAAUUACUGGGCGUAAAGCGUGCGCAGGCGGUUUUGUAAGACAGAGGUGAAAUCCCCGGGCUCAACCUGGGAACUGCCUUUGUGACUGCAAGGCUAGAGUACGGCAGAGGGGGAUGGAAUUCCGCGUGUAGCAGUGAAAUGCGUAGAUAUGCGGAGGAACACCGAUGGCGAAGGCAAUCCCCUGGGCCUGUACUGACGCUCAUGCACGAAAGCGUGGGGAGCAAACAGGAUUAGAUACCCUGGUAGUCCACGCCCUAAACGAUGUCAGCUGGUUGUUGGGUCUUCAUUGACUCAGUAACGAAGCUAACGCGUGAAGUUGACCGCCUGGGGAGUACGGCCGCAAGGUUAAAACUCAAAUGAAUUGGCGGGG
RNAcentral lists this ribosomal RNA (395 nucleotides) under uncultured bacterium. Its description in RNAcentral is "partial 16S ribosomal RNA". It matches the Rfam family "Bacterial small subunit ribosomal RNA", at positions 523 to 918 of the family's 1533-position model. The record is from RNAcentral.